Molecule: ribosomal RNA, 392 nt
Filed under: Bacillariophyta sp.
Lineage: Eukaryota; Bacillariophyta
Description: partial small subunit ribosomal RNA
Rfam family: Eukaryotic small subunit ribosomal RNA
Source: RNAcentral
AUUCCAGCUCCAAUAGCGUAUAUUAAAGUUGUUGCAGUUAAAAAGCUCGUAGUUGGAUUUCUGGCAGGAGCGACCGGUCACACACUCUGUGUGUGAACUUGUGUUGUCUCUGGCCAUCCUUGGGGAGAUCCUGUUUGGCAUUAAGUUGUCGGGCAGGGGAUACCCAUCGUUUACUGUGAAAAAAUUAGAGUGUUUAAAGCAGGCUUAUGCCGUUGAAUAUAUUAGCAUGGAAUAAUAAGAUAGGACUUCGGAACUAUUUUGUUGGUUUGCGUUACGAAGUAAUGAUUAAUAGGGACAGUUGGGGGUAUUCGUAUUUCGUUGUCAGAGGUGAAAUUCUUGGAUUUCCGAAAGACGAACUACUGCGAAAGCAUUUACCAAGGAUGUUUUCAUUA